GGGGAUUUGGACAAUGGGGAACCUGAUCCAGCCAUCCCGCGUGUGCGAUGAAGGCUUCGGGUUGUAAAGCACUUUGUCAGGGAAGAAAGGUUUCGGAUAAUACCCGGAACUGAUGACGGUACUGAAGAAUAAGCACCGGCUAACUACGUGCCAGCAGCCGCGGUAAUACGUAGGGUGCAAGCGUUAAUCGGAAUUACUGGGCGUAAAGCGUGCGCAGGCGGUUCGGAAAGAAAGAUGUGAAAUCCCCAGGGCUCAACCUUGGAACUGCAUUUUUAACUACCGGACUAGAGUAUGUCAGAGGGGGGUGGAAUUCCACGUGUAGCAGUGAAAUGCGUAGAUAUGUGGAGGAACACCGAUGGCGAAGGCAGCCCCCUGGGAUAAUACUGACGCUCAUGCACGAAAGCGUGGGGAGCAAACAGGAUUAGAUACCCUGGUAGUCCACGCCCUAAACGAUGUCAACUAGCUGUUGGGCCCUUCGGGGCUUAGUAGCGCAGCUAACGCGUGAAGUUGACCGCCUGGGGAGUACGGUCGCAAGGUUAAAACUCAAAGGAAUUGACGGGGACCCGCACAAGCGGUGGAUGAUGUGGAUUAAUUCGAUGCAACGCGAAAAACCUUACCUACCCUUGACAUGUCUGGAAUCCUGAAGAGAUUUAGGAGUGCUCGCAAGAGAACCGGAACACAGGUGCUGCAUGGCUGUCGUCAGCUCGUGUCGUGAGAUGUUGGGUUAAGUCCCGCAACGAGCGCAACCCUUGUCAUUAGUUGCUACAUUUAGUUGAGCACUCUAAUGAGACUGCCGGUGACAAACCGGAGGAAGGUGGGGAUGACGUCAAGUCCUCAUGGCCCUUAUGGGUAGGGCUUCACACGUCAUACAAUGGUCGGGACAGAGGGUUGCCAAGCCGCAAGGUGGAGCCAAUCUCACAAACCCGAUCGUAGUCCGGAUUGCAGGCUGCAACUCGCCUGCAUGAAGUCGGAAUCGCUAGUAAUCGCGAUCAGC
RNAcentral lists this ribosomal RNA (994 nucleotides) under uncultured bacterium. Its description in RNAcentral is "bacterial SSU rRNA". It matches the Rfam family "Bacterial small subunit ribosomal RNA", at positions 358 to 1353 of the family's 1533-position model. The record is from RNAcentral.